UCCUGCCACCUCGAGAAGACGCGCCUGCUUUCGCUUCUGCUAUGAUUACAUAAAUUUUCUGAGGCCUCCCCAGCCACACAGAACUAAAGAGCUCCUGCGAGAUUCUGCUCCUUCCCAUGCAGAGCAGAAGUGUCCUGAGGAUGGAGCAGAGAAAUGGCCCUGACCACAAAUACAGCAAGAUGCAUUCUACCAAGUUUCCUAAAGUAAGGUGAGAUGAUGAACCUUCCUACUUUGUACCAGGCCCUGUUACCACAUCAAUAAUCGAAGAGAGGAUGCCAGCCCAGGGCCCCAGGCAGCAGGAGAACUUUCAGAAAUGUUGUUAUUCUCCAGAUUGGAUUAAAACAAAAAAUUCUAAAGAAAAGGAAAACAUUCCUUCUACAAAUUAUUUGCUGCCACUAUUGAAAUCUGUCUGCCCUCAAAAGGCCUACAAUGGGAACAUUGUAAUAAGCAUUUGGGUAUAGUAAAUGAGUUAAGAAAUUUAA
Molecule: long non-coding RNA, 482 nt
Organism: Sapajus apella (tufted capuchin)
Lineage: Eukaryota; Metazoa; Chordata; Mammalia; Primates; Cebidae
Exons: 4
Source: RefSeq, a predicted model, not a curated record